RNAcentral lists this transfer RNA (72 nucleotides) under Camelus bactrianus (Bactrian camel). It matches the Rfam family "tRNA". From Rfam's summary of the family: Transfer RNA (tRNA) molecules are approximately 80 nucleotides in length. Their secondary structure includes four short double-helical elements and three loops (D, anti-codon, and T loops). The record is from Rfam by way of RNAcentral. RNAcentral also lists the same sequence under 2 other names. Lineage: Eukaryota; Metazoa; Chordata; Mammalia; Artiodactyla; Camelidae.
GAGGGUACAGCUCAAGUGGUAGAGUGCGUGCUUGACACGCACGAGGUCCUGGUUCAAUCCCCAGUACCUCCU